RNAcentral lists this ribosomal RNA (460 nucleotides) under uncultured bacterium. RNAcentral describes it as "partial 16S ribosomal RNA". It matches the Rfam family "Bacterial small subunit ribosomal RNA", at positions 338 to 795 of the family's 1533-position model. The record is from RNAcentral.
CCUACGGGUGGCAGCAGUGAGGAAUAUUGGUCAAUGGACGAGAGUCUGAACCAGCCAAGUAGCGUGAAGGAUGACUGCCCUAUGGGUUGUAAACUUCUUUUAUAUGGGAAUAAAACGUUCCACGUGUGGGAUUUUGUAUGUACCAUAUGAAUAAGGAUCGGCUAACUCCGUGCCAGCAGCCGCGGUAAUACAGAGGAUCCGAGCGUUAUCCGGAUUUAUUGGGUUUAAAGGGAGCGUAGGUGGAUUGUUAAGUCAGUUGUGAAAGUUUGCGGCUCAACCGUAAAAUUGCAGUUGAAACUGGCAGUCUUGAGUACAGUAGAGGUGGGCGGAAUUCGUGGUGUAGCGGUGAAAUGCUUAGAUAUCACGAAGAACUCCGAUUGCGAAGGCAGUUCACUGGACUGCAACUGACACUGAGGCUCGAAAGUGUGGGUAUCAAACAGGAUUAGAUACCCUAGUAGUC